This 253-nucleotide ribosomal RNA is filed under the name uncultured bacterium. Its description in RNAcentral is "partial 16S ribosomal RNA". It matches the Rfam family "Bacterial small subunit ribosomal RNA", at positions 524 to 776 of the family's 1533-position model. The record is from RNAcentral.
UACGUAGGGGGCAAGCGUUAUCCGGAUUUACUGGGUGUAAAGGGAGCGUAGGCGGCGACGCAAGUCAGAAGUGAAAGCCCGGGGCUCAACUCCGGGACUGCUUUUGAAACUGUAUGGCUAGAUUGCAGGAGAGGCAAGUGGAAUUCCUAGUGUAGCGGUGAAAUGCGUAGAUAUUAGGAGGAACACCAGUGGCGAAGGCGGCUUGCUGGACUGUAAAUGACGCUGAGGCUCGAAAGCGUGGGGAGCAAACAGG